Kogia breviceps (pygmy sperm whale) is the source of this 1498-nucleotide non-coding RNA. NCBI's taxonomy places the organism in Eukaryota, Metazoa, Chordata, Mammalia, Artiodactyla, Physeteridae. The record is from RefSeq and is a predicted model, not a curated record.
UGCGGGGCCGGGCGGUGGCGGCGGCGGCAUGGCGGAGAGCGAGGCCGAGACCCCCAGCACGCCGGGCGAGUUCGAGAGCAAGUACUUCGAGUUCCACGGCGUGCGGCUACCGCCCUUCUGCCGCGGGAAGAUGGAGGAGAUCGCCAACUUCCCGGUGCGGCCCAGCGACGUGUGGAUCGUCACCUACCCCAAGUCCGGCACCAGCUUGCUGCAGGAGGUGGUCUACUUGGUGAGCCAGGGGGCCGACCCUGAUGAGAUCGGCCUGAUGAAUAUCGACGAGCAGCUCCCGGUCCUGGAGUACCCGCAGCCGGGCCUGGACAUCAUCAAGGAACUGACGUCCCCCCGCCUCAUCAAAAGCCACCUCCCGUACCGCUUCCUGCCCUCAGACCUCCACAGCGGCGACUCCAAGGUCAUAUACAUGGCCCGGAACCCCAAGGACCUGGUGGUGUCCUACUACCAGUUCCACCGCUCCCUGCGGACCAUGAGCUACCGAGGCACAUUCCAGGAGUUCUGCCGGAGGUUCAUGAACGACAAGUUGGGCUACGGCUCCUGGUUUGAGCACGUGCAGGAGUUCUGGGAGCACCGUAUGGACUCGAAUGUGCUUUUCCUCAAGUACGAAGACAUGCACCGGGACCUGGUGACCAUGGUGGAGCAGCUGGCCCGGUUCCUGGGGGUGUCGUGUGACAAGGCCCAGCUGGAGUCCCUGAUCGAGCACUGCCACCAGCUGGUGGACCAGUGCUGCAACGCCGAGGCCCUGCCUGUGGGCCGGGCACAUUGCCUCUUUGCUCAGAAGACCUCCUUGCGUUGGUGAGAAUGCAGGGGCUUGAGUAGCCAGCUGCAUUGCUUAGAUUUGAUUCAUGUCACAGCAUAAAUUGCACUGUCUUGAUUCCAAAUCCUAAACCAGCCUUCCCGAAAUCUUCACCCUUGACCUGGUCAGGCGGCUUCGUGCUCACCAGAAAAUGUUCUACCUUUUUGGAUGAUUUUUUUCUUUUCCUUUUAAAAUUCUCCAGAAGCAAAUCCUGCCUUGGUGGAGCUGUUGAGCCGUGAGUGAGUAGUGGUGCCACGAGGACCCCGAUCCACAUGGUGCCCGGGGCCGCAGAUCUGUUCCACAGACACUGUCUGUCCUCUGGGGUGUUGUGACUCACCCGCUUUGUGCCCGGUGCCGGGGAUUCAGUGGCGGAUGGGCAGGGCCCGCGGCUCUGCACGUUUGUGGUGCUGGGCGGUCAGGGAAGAGGGUUCAGCUGGUCUGUCGCUCACAUGGGCCGUCCUGCCCCAAUAGGCCAGGUUCACAGGGGUCCGGGAAUAGAUCUGGAACCUUCCAGAUCCAUUUCCUGCGGUUUGGUAGCUGGCCUGACAGCAAGUGAAUUCAGCACACUCUGCUCGUUUGUGUUUUAGGGAGAGUCGGGCUGUGGAAGGACAUCUUCACUGUCUCCAUGAACGAGAAGUUUGAUUUGGUGUAUAAACAGAAGAUGGGAAAGUGUGACCUCACGUUCGACUU